Molecule: ribosomal RNA, 2070 nt
Filed under: Listeria monocytogenes
Lineage: Bacteria; Bacillati; Bacillota; Bacilli; Caryophanales; Listeriaceae
Description: partial 23S ribosomal RNA
Rfam family: Bacterial large subunit ribosomal RNA
Source: RNAcentral
GCUUGCUUCUUGGGGUUGUAGGACACUCUAUACGGAGUUACAAAAGAAAGUUAUAAAUGAAGCGGUCUGGAAAGGCCCGCCAAAGACGGUAACAGCCCGGUAGUUGAAAUGGCUUUCCCUCCAGAGUGGAUCCUGAGUACGGCGGAACACGUGAAAUUCCGUCGGAAUCCGGGAGGACCAUCUCCCAAGGCUAAAUACUCCCUAGUGACCGAUAGUGAACCAGUACCGUGAGGGAAAGGUGAAAAGCACCCCGGAAGGGGAGUGAAACAGUUCCUGAAACCGUGUGCCUACAAGUAGUUAGAGCCCGUUAAUGGGUGAUAGCGUGCCUUUUGUAGAAUGAACCGGCGAGUUACGAUUUGUUGCAAGGUUAAGCGGAAAAAGCGGAGCCGUAGCGAAAGCGAGUCUGAAUAGGGCGCAUAAGUAACAGGUCGUAGACCCGAAACCAGGUGAUCUACCCAUGUCCAGGAUGAAGGUAAGGUAAUACUUACUGGAGGUCCGAACCCACGCACGUUGAAAAGUGCGGGGAUGAGGUGUGGGUAGCGGAGAAAUUCCAAUCGAACUUGGAGAUAGCUGGUUCUCUCCGAAAUAGCUUUAGGGCUAGCCUCGAGGUAAAGAGUCAUGGAGGUAGAGCACUGUUUGGACUAGGGGCCCUUCUCGGGUUACCGAAUUCAGAUAAACUCCGAAUGCCAUGUACUUAUACUCGGGAGUCAGACUGCGAGUGAUAAGAUCCGUAGUCGAAAGGGAAACAGCCCAGACCACCAGUUAAGGUCCCCAAAUAUAUGUUAAGUGGAAAAGGAUGUGGGGUUGCUUAGACAACCAGGAUGUUGGCUUAGAAGCAGCCACCAUUGAAAGAGUGCGUAAUAGCUCACUGGUCGAGUGACCCCGCGCCGAAAAUGUACCGGGGCUAAACAUAUUACCGAAACUGUGGAUGAACCUCUUUAGAGGUUCGUGGUAGGAGAGCGUUCUAAGGGCGGUGAAGUCAGACCGGAAGGACUGGUGGAGCGCUUAGAAGUGAGAAUGCCGGUAUGAGUAGCGAAAGAAGGGUGAGAAUCCCUUCCACCGAAUAUCUAAGGUUUCCUGAGGAAGGCUCGUCCGCUCAGGGUUAGUCGGGACCUAAGCCGAGGCCGAUAGGCGUAGGCGAUGGACAACAGGUAGAGAUUCCUGUACCAGUGCUAAUUGUUUAACCGAUGGGGUGACACAGAAGGAUAGGGAAUCGCACGAAUGGAAAUGUGCGUCCAAGCAGUGAGUGUGAGAAGUAGGCAAAUCCGCUUCUCGCGAAGCAUGAGCUGUGAUGGGGAAGGAAAUUAAGUACGGAAGUUCCUGAUUUCACGCUGUCAAGAAAAGCCUCUAGGAAGAGUAGUACUGCCCGUACCGCAAACCGACACAGGUAGAUGAGGAGAGAAUCCUAAGGUGAGCGAGAGAACUCUCGUUAAGGAACUCGGCAAAAUGACCCCGUAACUUCGGGAGAAGGGGUGCUCUAUUAGGGUGCAAGCCCGAGAGAGCCGCAGUGAAUAGGCCCAGGCGACUGUUUAGCAAAAACACAGGUCUCUGCAAAACCGUAAGGUGACGUAUAGGGGCUGACGCCUGCCCGGUGCUGGAAGGUUAAGAGGAGUGCUUAGCUUCGGCGAAGGUACGAAUUGAAGCCCCAGUAAACGGCGGCCGUAACUAUAACGGUCCUAAGGUAGCGAAAUUCCUUGUCGGGUAAGUUCCGACCCGCACGAAAGGCGCAACGAUCUGGGCACUGUCUCAACGAGAGACUCGGUGAAAUUAUAGUACCUGUGAAGAUGCAGGUUACCCGCGACAGGACGGAAAGACCCCGUGGAGCUUUACUGCAACCUGAUAUGGAAUGUUUGUACCGCUUGUACAGGAUAGGUAGGAGCCGAAGAGACGUGUGCGCUAGCAUACGAGGAGGCAAUGGUGGGAUACUACCCUGGCUGUAUGACCAUUCUAACCCGCCACGCUUAGCGCGUGGGGAGACAGUGUCAGGUGGGCAGUUUGACUGGGGCGGUCGCCUCCUAAAGAGUAACGGAGGCGCCCAAAGGUUCCCUCAGAAUGGAUGGAAAUCAUUCG